Long non-coding RNA from Vicia villosa (hairy vetch), 466 nucleotides. RefSeq lists it as uncharacterized. Lineage: Eukaryota; Viridiplantae; Streptophyta; Magnoliopsida; Fabales; Fabaceae. The transcript has 2 exons. The record is from RefSeq and is a predicted model, not a curated record.
UAUUUUUCUAGAGUGCUAUCUUUUCUCCAACAACUUCUCUUUCUAUCUUCUCUCUCUUUGAUUGUUGCUUCUCUCUAAUUGUUCUUUCUUCUUCAAGUUUAAAAAAAAUUUAUCCAUUCAUAUAUCAUAUUUUUAUCUUUACGAAUUUUUAACACUUUUAUGAUUUAUUUUUUCGUUUUUCCAGGUUGUUGAUCUAUUGAUAGGUUCCAAAACAUCGAAAAAGCGUGACUUAUCUGAGCAUAAGGAGAGCUUCUUCUUCAACAACACUAAAGCUCUUCUCUCAAUCUGGGUUUUAGUUGUUGUUACUGAGUAGUGAUGAAGAGAAUGGAGAUGAGGAGAUUAAUUAUACCGAUGGGUUUUAGUUGUUGUUACUGAGUAGUGAUGAAGAGCAUGAUGUUUAAGAAAGUUGUUGUUAUUGUUAACUUUUAACUAAUGAAUUUUAAUACAAGAAAUUAAGGAUUAAUUA